This 289-nucleotide ribosomal RNA is filed under the name uncultured bacterium. Its description in RNAcentral is "partial 16S ribosomal RNA". It matches the Rfam family "Bacterial small subunit ribosomal RNA", at positions 773 to 1060 of the family's 1533-position model. The record is from RNAcentral.
GUGGAUUAGAUACCCGGGUAGUCCACGCCCUAAACGAUGUCAACUAGUUGUUGGGGAUUCAUUUCCUUAGUAACGUAGCUAACGCGUGAAGUUGACCGCCUGGGGAGUACGGUCGCAAGAUUAAAACUCAAAGGAAUUGACGGGGACCCGCACAAGCGGUGGAUGAUGUGGAUUAAUUCGAUGCAACGCGAAAAGCCUUACCUACCCUUGACAUGGACGAAACCCGGGUGAGAGCUUGGGGUGCUCGAAAGAGAAUCGUCGCACAGGUGCUGCAUGGCUGUCGACAACU